GGGUGAGUCUGGUUGAUGGAGCCAUGAUAGGGUAGAUGGCUGGAUGUCUGGAGCAGACAGUAUUGACAACAAAUGAGCAGGUAGUUUAUACAGUGUGGACAUGCUGGACAAAGGGAUGAUUCACAUCCCGGGCAGGACAGACCAGCUGAAGAGUAUGUAACUUUGGGACUUCAUCUUUUUAAAAAGAAGACACUGAUGAUGAAAUAGCAUGAUGAAUGAAGAACUAUGAAACACAUACCAUAAGAAAAGAACAAUAAAGAUGUAACAAGCAUGAUAAACAUGAGCUACGAAACACAGCCUUAUGAAACUAACAGCUUCCGCUACCUGUAUCUUAGAACAAUCACUCUUGAAAACCAGCCACCAUGCUGUGAGGAAGACCAAAGAAUCCCAUGGGGAAGCCCACAUACAGAAGAACUGGAAGUUCCAGACUGAAGACCUGCUGUGUUCCCAAACAGUCAGUACCAAUUUGCAUUUUAAGAGAGUGAGCUAUCAUAUAAAUGACUUCUCUGGAUCCAGAAAAGCCUAGUACUUGACCUACAAAAUCAUGAGCAAAAUAAAAUUGCUCUUUUAAGACA
Pongo pygmaeus (Bornean orangutan) is the source of this 575-nucleotide long non-coding RNA. RefSeq lists it as uncharacterized. Lineage: Eukaryota; Metazoa; Chordata; Mammalia; Primates; Hominidae. The transcript has 3 exons. The record is from RefSeq and is a predicted model, not a curated record.